AACGCUAGCUACAGGCUUAACACAUGCAAGUCGAGGGGCAGCAUGGUCUUAGCUUGCUAAGGCCGAUGGCGACCGGCGCACGGGUGAGUAACACGUAUCCAACCUGCCGUCUACUCUUGGACAGCCUUCUGAAAGGAAGAUUAGUACGAGAUGGCAUCAUGAGUCCGCAUGUUCACAUGAUUAAAGGUAUUCCGGUAGACGAUGGGGAUGCGUUCCAUUAGAUAGUAGGCGGGGUAACGGCCCACCUAGUCUUCGAUGGAUAGGGGUUCUGAGAGGAAGGUCCCCCACAUUGGAACUGAGACACGGUCCAAACUCCUACGGGAGGCAGCAGUGAGGAAUAUUGGUCAAUGGGCGAGAGCCUGAACCAGCCAAGUAGCGUGAAGGAUGACUGCCCUAUGGGUUGUAAACUUCUUUUAUAAAGGAAUAAAGUCGGGUAUGGAUACCCGUUUGCAUGUACUUUAUGAAUAAGGAUCGGCUAACUCCGUGCCAGCAGCCGCGGUAAUACGGAGGAUCCGAGCGUUAUCCGGAUUUAUUGGGUUUAAAGGGAGCGUAGAUGGAUGUUUAAGUCAGUUGUGAAAGUUUGCGGCUCAACCGUAAAAUUGCAGUUGAUACUGGAUAUCUUGAGUGCAGUUGAGGCAGGCGGAAUUCGUGGUGUAGCGGUGAAAUGCUUAGAUAUCACGAAGAACUCCGAUUG
Molecule: ribosomal RNA, 694 nt
Filed under: uncultured bacterium
Lineage: Bacteria
Description: bacterial SSU rRNA
Rfam family: Bacterial small subunit ribosomal RNA
Source: RNAcentral